Cinara cedri is the source of this 213-nucleotide non-coding RNA. The record is from the annotation of a GenBank genome assembly. NCBI's taxonomy places the organism in Eukaryota, Metazoa, Arthropoda, Insecta, Hemiptera, Aphididae.
CAUAAUGUUGGAAGUAGUAUUAUAGUAAACAGUUAUGUAUUGUUGUGCAAAGGAUAUUUCCUAUAAUACAAAAUAGGCGAGGGAUAAUUCGAGGUUUGUUGGAUGGACAUCUGUUACUCAUUGAUGUUUUUUUUUCUGUUUUAAGCUACACAGUUGGACCAGAGUUUUGUAAGGAAUUUUAAUAUAAAAAAUACACAUUAAAUCGCAUAGGCG